AAUUUGUACAGUGGGUAUUAUAGUAUUCCAGGGUUAUUACACUAUGCGUUACAGUGAGUUAACUGUUCAUUAGUGUGACGGCGAGGGAGAAGAAGCUGUUUCUGUGUCUGGUGGUUUUGGUGUACAGUGGUUUGCCAUGCCCGUUUCCUGACUCUGGAGGUAUACUGGUCCUGGAUGGUGGGCAGUUAUAACCAUACUCACAUAUCCUUACUCCCGAUGCAAACUUUAUAACCAUACUCACAUAUGCCCUGCCCUGGUGUGCCGCCCGCGGGGACCUCAUGUCAUGUCCUCUGCGCCCCCAGAUUGACAAGAAGGCGAUGCACAAGGCAGGGAUGGUGCAGCGCGUCAUCAACGAGGUGGAGAUUCAGUGCCGGCUGAAGCAUCCCUCCAUCCUGGAGGUAAAGCUUGUGUGUGUGUGUGUGUGUGUGUGCCGUCUGAAGCAUGCCUCCAUCCUGGUGGUAAAGCUCGUUUCCACAUGACAUCUGGCACAGGGCAGGGACUCUUGGGGCGGAGGGAGGGUGUGUGCGUGUAUUUGUGUGUGUGUGUUUGCAUGCUUCUUAGGCAGGUAGCUCGCUAGGUUUAGGUUAGCUCGCUAGGUUAAGGUUAGCUCGCUAGGUUUAUGUUAGCUCGCUAGGUUUAGACCAAAACUCGAUAAUGGUUCAUACUUAUUUCACCUCAGACAAGAUUUGACCUUCACCCUAACAGCACAUGUUCGCUCUCUCUCUUUCUUCCUCACACACACACACACACACACACACACACACACAAACCACACAGGACAGAAAAAAGACCCAGGACACAGGAUGGUUGGAGUGUGUGUCAGACAGACAAGUCUGCUUGGUUUAAUUUCCAUCAUCAGACCUCACAUCUCACCCAUGGGGAUGCAGGAUACACCACGCAGCGCUCCCCGACUCUGUCAAGCAGCGCCAUGGCAACACGUCACCCCUGUCCAGGGGGGUAUUCCAAGCAUAGACAUAUAUAUCUAUAUAUAUAUAUAUCAUAUAUAUAUAUAUGUCUAUGAUUCCAAGUACGUGGUUAAGUGAAUAACAGGGGUAAGUAAGCGGUAAGCCUCGUAAAAGAAGAGCCCUUUGACUUUGUGUUGCUAGGCGACUGAAGCCAUAGGGCUCUUCUAUUAGGAGGUUUAUCACUUACUCUGAGUUAACUUACCCAGGUUUGUCACAAAGCCUCAUACAUGGCACACCCCCCCCCCCCCCGCCCCAGUUAGACUACUAAAAUCAUAUUUACACACUCUACACACAACACACUCUCCAAUGUCACACUUUAAAUAGAAAAUAUAUAUAUAGUAGAUGUGUGAGUGCACACACCCAGGCGAGGCGACUGACUCGCCCGAGCAGCCAGACUGGAGCCUUGGCCAAACCCUGUGGCCUUCUGGGAAGGGUUGCUCUGGGCAUGUGCAGUAAGACUCAGGGCUAGCCCCGCCCCGCCCCCUGCUCACACUCUUCAUUCAGGAGGACCAGCUUCAUGUUCGUUUCCUCUAGUUAGCUACAGUACUGCUACUGGCUACAGGGGUGGGAGGGGGUGGGGGGGGGCGGGCACGCAGCAGGUACACAUGGGGCAGGGCGGGGUGGGGGGGUCCGCUACAGGAAACCUGGGUGAAGAGGAGGAGAGGAUGAAGAGCAGCUGGAGAAGAGAUGCACAGACAGCCAUGAAGAAGACUCGAGCCAUUCACAGAGUUUCAGGUGUGUGUGUGUGUGUGUGUGUUUGAAGAGCGUCACGUGUGUGUCUGAGGGGUCAGAUCAGGUCUGUGUGUGUCUGUGUGUGUCUGUAUGUCUGAAGCCAGGUCAGUUGUGUGUCUGUGUGUGUGUAUGUCUGAACUCAGGUUGUGUGUGUGUGUGUCAGGUCUGUAUGUGUGUAUGUGUGUGUAAAGUGUGUGUGUAUGUCUGAACUCAGGUUGUGUGUGUGUGUGUCAGGUCUGUAUGUGUGUAUGUCUGAAGUCAGGUCAGGUUUCUGUCUGAGGUGUGCUGCAGUGUUUGUGUGUGUGUGUGUGUGAGGUGUACAGCAGUGUGUGUGUGGAGGCUGGCUGGUUGGUUGGUGGAGUGUUCGGGGGGGGGGUGGGGG
Molecule: long non-coding RNA, 2079 nt
Organism: Clupea harengus (Atlantic herring)
Lineage: Eukaryota; Metazoa; Chordata; Actinopteri; Clupeiformes; Clupeidae
Source: Ensembl